AUACGUAGGUGGCAAGCGUUGUCCGGAAUUAUUGGGCGUAAAGCGCAUGUAGGCGGUGCCUUAAGUCUGUCGUGAAACUGCGGGGCCUAACCCCGUAUGGCGAUGGAAACUGUGGCACUUGAGUGCAGGAGAGGAAAGGGGAACUCCCAGUGUAGCGGUGAAAUGCGUAGAUAGUGGGAAGAACACCGGUGGCGAAGGCGCCUUUCUGGACUGUGUCUGACGCUGAGAUGCGAAAGCCAGGGUAGCGAACGGGAUUAGAUACCCCGGUAGUCCUGGCCGUAAACGAUGGGUACUAGGUGUGGGAGGUAUCGACCCCUUCCGUGCCGGAGUUAACGCAAUAAGUACCCCGCCUGGGGAGUACGGCCGCAAGGCUUAAACUCAAAUGAAUUGACGGGG
Molecule: ribosomal RNA, 396 nt
Filed under: uncultured bacterium
Lineage: Bacteria
Description: partial 16S ribosomal RNA
Rfam family: Bacterial small subunit ribosomal RNA
Source: RNAcentral